RNAcentral lists this ribosomal RNA (253 nucleotides) under uncultured prokaryote. RNAcentral describes it as "partial 16S ribosomal RNA". It matches the Rfam family "Bacterial small subunit ribosomal RNA", at positions 524 to 776 of the family's 1533-position model. The record is from RNAcentral.
UACAGAGGUCCCAAGCGUUGUUCGGAUUUACUGGGCGUAAAGGGUGCGUAGGUGGUCAGGUAAGUCUGAUGUGAAAUCUCCGAGCUUAACUCGGAAACUGCAUUGGAAACUACUCGGCUUGAGAGUUGGAGGGGGGACUGGAAUUCUCGGUGUAGCAGUGAAAUGCGUAGAUAUCGAGAGGAACACCAGUGGCGAAGGCGAGUCCCUGGACAACUUCUGACACUGAGGCACGAAAGCUAGGGGAGCAAACAGG